RNAcentral lists this ribosomal RNA (467 nucleotides) under uncultured bacterium. Its description in RNAcentral is "partial 16S ribosomal RNA". It matches the Rfam family "Bacterial small subunit ribosomal RNA", at positions 28 to 506 of the family's 1533-position model. The record is from RNAcentral.
GACGAACGCUGGCGGCGUGCUUAACACAUGCAAGUCGAACGGAAAGGCCCUGCUUUUGUGGGGUGCUCGAGUGGCGAACGGGUGAGUAACACGUGAGUAACCUGCCCUUGACUUUGGGAUAACUUCAGGAAACUGGGGCUAAUACCGGAUAGGAGCUCCUGCUGCAUGGUGGGGGUUGGAAAGUUUCGGCGGUUGGGGAUGGACUCGCGGCUUAUCAGCUUGUUGGUGGGGUAGUGGCUUACCAAGGCUUUGACGGGUAGCCGGCCUGAGAGGGUGACCGGCCACUUGGGAACUGAGAUACGGCCCAGACUCCUAGGGGAGGAAGCAGGGGGGAAUAUUGCACAAGGGGCGGGAGCAAGAUCAAGAAGCCGCGGGUGGGGGAUGACGGCCUUGGGGUUGAAAACCUUUUUCGCCGGUGAAGAAGCGUGGGUGGCGGUAAUGGGUAAAGGAGCACCGGUUAAUUACUU